This 305-nucleotide ribosomal RNA is filed under the name uncultured bacterium. RNAcentral's name for it is "bacterial SSU rRNA". It matches the Rfam family "Bacterial small subunit ribosomal RNA", at positions 338 to 642 of the family's 1533-position model. The record is from RNAcentral.
CCUGGGAGGCAGCAGUGAGGAAUAUUGGUCAAUGGACGAAAGUCUGAACCAGCCAUGCCGCGUGCAGGAAGACGGCUCUAUGAGUUGUAAACUGCUUUUGUACAAGGGUAAACCUGAAUACGUGUAUUCAGCUAAAAGUACUGUACGAAUAAGGAUCGGCUAACUCCGUGCCAGCAGCCGCGGUAAUACGGAGGAUCCAAGCGUUAUCCGGAUUUAUUGGGUUUAAAGGGUGCGUAGGCGGAUUGAUAAGUUAGAGGUGAAAUGUCCGGGCUCAACUCGGGAACUGCCUCUAAUACUGUUGAUCU